GAUGAAGAACGUAGCGAAAUGCGAUAAGUAGUGUGAAUUGCAGAAUUCAGUGAAUCAUCGAAUCUUUGAACGCACAUUGCGCCCCUUGGUUUCCCGAGGGGCAUGCCUGUUCGAGCGUCAUUUCACCACUCAAGCCUGGCUUGGUGUUGGGCGACGUCCCCUUUGGGGACGCGCCUCGAAACGCUCGGCGGCGUGGCACCGGCUUUAAGCGUAGCAGAAUCUUUCGCUUUGGAAGUCGGGGCCCCGUCUGCCGGAAGACCUACUCGCAAGGUUGACCUCGGAUCAGGCAGGGAUACCCGCUGAACUUAAGCAUAUCAAUAAGCGGAGGA
Molecule: unclassified non-coding RNA, 329 nt
Filed under: soil metagenome
Description: partial contains 5.8S ribosomal RNA, internal transcribed spacer 2, and large subunit ribosomal RNA
Rfam family: 5.8S ribosomal RNA (bases 1-120)
Source: RNAcentral